GAUGAACGCUGGCGGCGUGCCUAAUACAUGCAAGUCGAGCGAACAGAUAAGGAGCUUGCUCCUUUGACGUUAGCGGCGGACGGGUGAGUAACACGUGGGUAACCUACCUAUAAGACUGGAAUAACUCCGGGAAACCGGGGCUAAUGCCGGAUAACAUUUAGAACCGCAUGGUUCUAAAGUGAAAGAUGGUUUUGCUAUCACUUAUAGAUGGACCCGCGCCGUAUUGGCUAGUUGGUAAGGUAACGGCUUACCAAGGCAACGAUACGUAGCCGACCUGAGAGGGUGAUCGGCCACACUGGAACUGAGACACGGUCCAGACUCCUACGGGAGGCAGCAGUAGGGAAUCUUCCGCAAUGGGCGAAAGCCUGACGGAGCAACGCCGCGUGAGUGAUGAAGGUCUUCGGAUCGUAAAACUCUGUUAUUAGGGAAGAACAAAUGUGUAAGUAACUGUGCACGUCUUGACGGUACCUAAUCAGAAAGCCACGGCUAACUACGUG
Molecule: ribosomal RNA, 497 nt
Filed under: uncultured bacterium
Lineage: Bacteria
Description: partial 16S ribosomal RNA
Rfam family: Bacterial small subunit ribosomal RNA
Source: RNAcentral